Molecule: transfer RNA, 64 nt
Filed under: Jekelius balearicus
Lineage: Eukaryota; Metazoa; Arthropoda; Insecta; Coleoptera; Geotrupidae
Also listed under: 1 other name
Description: tRNA-Leu
Source: RNAcentral
UCUAAUAUGGCAGAUUAGUGCAUUGAAUUUAAACUUCACUCAUAAAGUUUAUACUUUUUUUAGA